CACGUAGGGGGCAAGCGUUGUCCGGAUUUAUUGGGCGUAAAGAGCUCGUAGGUGGUUCGGUAAGUCAGGUGUGAAACCUCCAGGCUCAACCUGGAGACGCCACUUGAUACUGCUGUGACUGGAGUCCGGUAGGGGAGCGUGGAAUUCCUGGUGUAGCGGUGAAAUGCGCAGAUAUCAGGAAGAACACCAAUGGCGAAGGCAGCUCUCUGGGACGGUACUGACGCUGAGACGCGAAAGCGUGGGGAGCGAACAGG
This 254-nucleotide ribosomal RNA is filed under the name uncultured bacterium. Its description in RNAcentral is "partial 16S ribosomal RNA". It matches the Rfam family "Bacterial small subunit ribosomal RNA", at positions 524 to 776 of the family's 1533-position model. The record is from RNAcentral.